UACGUAGGGUGCAAGCGUUGUCCGGAAUCAUUGGGCGUAAAGCGCGUGUAGGCGGCUUGUUAAGUCCGCUCUGAAAGCCCGGGGCUCAACCCCGGGAGGCGGGUGGAUACUGGCAAGCUCGAGUCCGGAAGAGGCGAGUGGAAUUCCUGGUGUAGCGGUGAAAUGCGCAGAUAUCAGGAGGAACACCAAUGGCGAAGGCAGCUCGCUGGGACGUGACUGACGCUGAGACGCGAAAGCGUGGGGAGCAAACAGG
RNAcentral lists this ribosomal RNA (253 nucleotides) under uncultured bacterium. RNAcentral describes it as "partial 16S ribosomal RNA". It matches the Rfam family "Bacterial small subunit ribosomal RNA", at positions 524 to 776 of the family's 1533-position model. The record is from RNAcentral.